This 622-nucleotide long non-coding RNA is filed under the name Oryza sativa (Asian cultivated rice). RNAcentral describes it as "long non-coding RNA (OSAT_LNC000694)". The record is from RNAcentral. Lineage: Eukaryota; Viridiplantae; Streptophyta; Magnoliopsida; Poales; Poaceae.
AGCUAACAUAAAUAUUUAUGCAUGGAAAUUUUAGGAAAUAUAGUAGAUGAACAAAAAUAAACCAUAUGGAAAUUGGUGUGGAGCAUACCUGUAAUGAAUGUGCUUCGAGCAUAUAGCAUACAUCACUGAAAAUGAGGAACACAGUACAGCAGCAUAUGAAAAACUCUUUUGAUGUACAUUCAAGAGGUAAGCCAUGUGUACUUGCAGCUUCCAAAACUGUCUGAAUAUGAAAAUACACCCUGCAGCACAAAUGGGAACAAAUAAACCUAUCAACAUUAUCGUUUUGCCCCCCAUAGCUGUAUAUGCAAUUCCUGACUGAAUAAAUAAUCGUAGCAUAUAGAAAUUUUAGUAGCAGUGUGCAUUGCUUCAAGCUAAAAAAGUUUGAUCACACAUGACAGUGUUGAGGUACAUGCAGAGGGAGUUUUUUUUCUACAUAACAUACACACUGUAACUAAAUCAAGCCUCACACGUUAGAAGCAAAUCAAAGCUGUAAUCAUCAAGAACUAAUGUCCAAUCACUAUCUUCGUUCUCAUGGCACUGAGGUAGAACAACAAAGGAAAAGAGAGAGAACGAACGACCAGGCAGGCAGGCAACCAUCGUCGCUGAGCCACGGUUGCCUUCG